RNAcentral lists this ribosomal RNA (492 nucleotides) under uncultured bacterium. RNAcentral's name for it is "partial 16S ribosomal RNA". It matches the Rfam family "Bacterial small subunit ribosomal RNA", at positions 28 to 507 of the family's 1533-position model. The record is from RNAcentral.
GAUGAACGCUAGCUACAGGCUUAACACAUGCAAGUCGAGGGGAAACGACAUCGAAAGCUUGCUUUUGAUGGGCGUCGACCGGCGCACGGGUGAGUAACGCGUAUCCAACCUGCCCAUCACUUGGGAAUAACCUUGCGAAAGUAAGACUAAUACCCAAUGACAUCCCACGAAGACAUCUGAAUGGGAUUAAAGAUUUAUCGGUGAUGGAUGGGGAUGCGUCUGAUUAGCUUGUUGGCGGGGUAACGGCCCACCAAGGCAACGAUCAGUAGGGGUUCUGAGAGGAAGGUCCCCCACAUUGGAACUGAGACACGGUCCAAACUCCUACGGGAGGCAGCAGUGAGGAAUAGUGGUCAAUGGGCGAGAGCCUGAACCAGCCAAGUAGCGUGCAGGAUGACGGCCCUAUGGGUGGUAAACUGCUUUUAUAAGGGAAUAAAGUGGGUCUCGUGAGACUUUUUGCAUGUACCUUAUGAAUAAGGACCGGCUAAUUCCGUG